AUACAUAGGGGGCGAGCGUUGUCCGGAAUGACUGGGCGUAAAGGGAGUGUAGGCGGUUAUGCAAGUUACAUGUGAAAGCCCGAGGCUUAACCUCGGAACUGCAUGUAAAACUACAUAACUUGAGUGUGGGAGAGGAAAGUGGAAUUCCUAGUGUAGCGGUGGAAUGCGUAGAUAUUAGGAGGAACACCAGCGGCGAAGGCGGCUUUCUGGACCAUAACUGACGCUGAGGCUCGAAAGCGUGGGGAGCAAACAGGAUUAGAUACCCUGGUAGUCCACGCCGUAAACGAUGGAUACUAGACGCAGGAGGUAUCGGCUCCUACUGUGUCUGAAGCUAACGCAAUAAGUAUCCCGCCUGGGGAGUACGGCCGCAAGGUUGAA
RNAcentral lists this ribosomal RNA (378 nucleotides) under uncultured bacterium. RNAcentral's name for it is "bacterial SSU rRNA". It matches the Rfam family "Bacterial small subunit ribosomal RNA", at positions 523 to 898 of the family's 1533-position model. The record is from RNAcentral.